UACAGAGGGUGCAAGCGUUAAUCGGAAUUACUGGGCGUAAAGCGUGCGUAGACGGUUGCGUAAGUCAGAUGUGAAAGCCCCGGGCUCAACCUGGGAAUUGCAUUUGAGACUGCGUAGCUAGGGUGCGGAAGAGGGAAGCGGAAUUUCCGGUGUAGCGGUGAAAUGCGUAGAUAUCGGGAGGAAGGCCGGUGGCGAAGGCGGCGCUCUGGAACGUUUCUGACACUGAGGCUCGAAAGCGUGGGGAGCAAACAGG
RNAcentral lists this ribosomal RNA (253 nucleotides) under uncultured bacterium. RNAcentral's name for it is "partial 16S ribosomal RNA". It matches the Rfam family "Bacterial small subunit ribosomal RNA", at positions 524 to 776 of the family's 1533-position model. The record is from RNAcentral.